UACGAAGGGGGCUAGCGUUGUUCGGAAUCACUGGGCGUAAAGCGCACGCAGGCGGAUCGAUAAGUCGGGGGUGAAAGCCCGGGGCUCAACCUCGGAAUUGCCUUCGAUACUGCGGGUCUCGAGUCCGGGAGAGGUGAGUGGAAUUCCUAGUGUAGAGGUGAAAUUCGUAGAUAUUAGGAAGAACACCAGUGGCGAAGGCGGCUCACUGGCCCGGUACUGACGCUGAGGCGCGAAAGCGUGGGGAGCAAACAGG
RNAcentral lists this ribosomal RNA (253 nucleotides) under uncultured bacterium. RNAcentral's name for it is "partial 16S ribosomal RNA". It matches the Rfam family "Bacterial small subunit ribosomal RNA", at positions 524 to 776 of the family's 1533-position model. The record is from RNAcentral.